UAUUUUAAAGAGAGUUUGAUCCUGGCUCAGGACGAACGCUGGCGGCGUGCCUAAUACAUGCAAGUCGAACGAACGGAGGAAGAGCUUGCUCUUCCAAAGUUAGUGGCGGACGGGUGAGUAACACGUGGGCAACCUGCCUGUAAGUUGGGGAUAACUCCGGGAAACCGGGGCUAAUACCGAAUGAUAAAGUGUGGCGCAUGCCACGCUUUUGAAAGAUGGUUUCGGCUAUCGCUUACAGAUGGGCCCGCGGUGCAUUAGCUAGUUGGUAGGGUAAUGGCCUACCAAGGCAACGAUGCAUAGCCGACCUGAGAGGGUGAUCGGCCACACUGGGACUGAGACACGGCCCAGACUCCUACGGGAGGCAGCAGUAGGGAAUCUUCCGCAAUGGACGAAAGUCUGACGGAGCAACGCCGCGUGUAUGAAGAAGGUUUUCGGAUCGUAAAGUACUGUUGUUAGAGAAGAACAAGGAUAAGAGUAACUGCUUGUCCCUUGACGGUAUCUAACCAGAAAGCCACGGCUAACUACGUGCCAGCAGCCGCGGUAAUACGUAGGUGGCAAGCGUUGUCCGGAUUUAUUGGGCGUAAAGCGCGCGCAGGCGGUCUUUUAAGUCUGAUGUGAAAGCCCCCGGCUUAACCGGGGAGGGUCAUUGGAAACUGGAAGACUGGAGUGCAGAAGAGGAGAGUGGAAUUCCACGUGUAGCGGUGAAAUGCGUAGAUAUGUGGAGGAACACCAGUGGCGAAGGCGACUCUCUGGUCUGUAA
Molecule: ribosomal RNA, 760 nt
Filed under: Listeria monocytogenes
Lineage: Bacteria; Bacillati; Bacillota; Bacilli; Caryophanales; Listeriaceae
Description: bacterial SSU rRNA
Rfam family: Bacterial small subunit ribosomal RNA
Source: RNAcentral